AGAGUUUGAUCCUGGCUCAGGACGAAUGCUGGCGGCGUGCCUAAUACAUGCAAGUCGAGCGAGCUUGCCUAGAUGAUUUUAGUGCUUGCACUAAAUGAAACUAGAUACAAGCGAGCGGCGGACGGGUGAGUAACACGUGGGUAACCUGCCCAAGAGACUGGGAUAACACCUGGAAACAGAUGCUAAUACCGGAUAACAACACUAGACGCAUGUCUAGAGUUUGAAAGAUGGUUCUGCUAUCACUCUUGGAUGGACCUGCGGUGCAUUAGCUAGUUGGUAAGGUAACGGCUUACCAAGGCAAUGAUGCAUAGCCGAGUUGAGAGGCUGAUCGGCCACAUUGGGACUGAGACACGGCCCAAACUCCUACGGGAGGCAGCAGUAGGGAAUCUUCCACAAUGGACGAAAGUCUGAUGGAGCAACGCCGCGUGAGUGAAGAAGGGUUUCGGCUCGUAAAGCUCUGUUGGUAGUGAAGAAAGAUAGAGGUAGUAACUGGCCUUUAUUUGACGGUAAUUACUUAGAAAGUCACGGCUAACUACGUGCCAGCAGCCGCGGUAAUACGUAGGUGGCAAGCGUUGUCCGGAUUUAUUGGGCGUAAAGCGAGUGCAGGCGGUUCAAUAAGUCUGAUGUGAAAGCCUUCGGCUCAACCGGAGAAUUGCAUCAGAAACUGUUGAACUUGAGUGCAGAAGAGGAGAGUGGAACUCCAUGUGUAGCGGUGGAAUGCGUAGAUAUAUGGAAGAACACCAGUGGCGAAGGCGGCUCUCUGGUCUGCAACUGACGCUGAGGCUCGAAAGCAUGGGUAGCGAACAGGAUUAGAUACCCUGGUAGUCCAUGCCGUAAACGAUGAGU
This 846-nucleotide ribosomal RNA is filed under the name uncultured bacterium. Its description in RNAcentral is "bacterial SSU rRNA". It matches the Rfam family "Bacterial small subunit ribosomal RNA", at positions 8 to 814 of the family's 1533-position model. The record is from RNAcentral.